GUUGUAUGGUUAAGUGACUAAGCGUACAUGGUGGAUGCCUUGGCAGUCAGAGGCGAUGAAGGACGUACUAACCUGCGAUAAGCCGUGAGCAGUCGGUAAGAGACAUUACGACUCACGGAUUUCCGAAUGGGGAAACCCACUUAGCAUAAGCUAGGUAUCGCUGCGUGAAUACAUAGCGUAGCGAGGCGAACCGGGAGAACUGAAACAUCUAAGUACCCCGAGGAAAAGAAAUCAACCGAGAUUCCCUCAGUAGCGGCGAGCGAACGGGGAUUAGCCCUUAAGCAUCUUGGAAGUUAGUGGAACGGUCCUGGAAAGGCCGGCGAUACAGGGU
Molecule: ribosomal RNA, 331 nt
Filed under: Aeromonas caviae
Lineage: Bacteria; Pseudomonadati; Pseudomonadota; Gammaproteobacteria; Aeromonadales; Aeromonadaceae
Description: bacterial LSU rRNA
Rfam family: Bacterial large subunit ribosomal RNA
Source: RNAcentral